UGUGAAGUAGCUGGGGAAGAAGGGCGAGGAAGGAGAUAAAAUGCGGAAGUUGAGAGGUUAAAAGAAAACGGGAAUUAUAUUUGAAAAGAAAUGCCGUAAGUUCAUUAUGAUUCGAAAUUUGAAGCCAAAAUUGUGAAUUUUAUUUUACUUCAUAUCUAACGGGCUUAUUGCGCGGGCGCAUCGGCGCCCGGCGCAUAUAUUGAUUGUUUUAGAAGUGUCCCUGGUGCAAUGGGCUUGCGCAUGCGGCGUUUUCAUUGUUUUGAUCGCGCAUGCGCCGUUUCUUACCGUCCGCUCUCGGAUAAUUCCGAAGCAGUUCGCCAUUAGACUGGUUCCUGUUCGAUUUUGCAAUAGAAGAUUGGUAAUCUUCUAAUAUGUGAAGCUUUGAAAAUAUAAGGCAAAUUAAAACCAGAGAUGUUUUUAAAUAACUCUUUUAGAGAAAAAAUAUCAUAAAUGCACAGUUGUUGAGAAAACUUCUCUUUUUAAUUUAAAUAUUUUUACAUAAAAGAAUAAACCACGAAUGCGCAGAAUGUAUAAUCUUAGAAAAUCGGUGAACCAGUCUAUUAUCUGAUUACAUGACGUGUACGGGUCAGAUGCAAGCGUCCAGUAGAUUAGGGAUAUCGAGGUCAACACGCUGGCGGUUGGGGAAAGAUUUAGGCGAAUGUGCGGUCAAGGUCAAAAUUGCGAGAGGUUGAAUCGAAGUGAAAUACCGCAACAAAAACGUUCGAUUUGGACAUUAACGCGUCUAACUGAAUCAGUCACAAUGUUUCUACCACAAGAGUUGUAAAUAUUGAACAGAAAGGGCUUCAUCUUCAAGAUGAAAACUGCAAAAAAUGGCCACCAACAAGAAUGGGCCAGGACUGAGGAGUUCCAAGAAAUGAGUAUUCUUCAGCCCACAAAUAUCAGUGCUGCCCCGCUGCCCAAAACCAGAGUGUGGCAACAAGUAAAUGGACCUUGACAAAUUUCCUCUAUGUUAGAGCCAGUCCCUUACACAAGUGGCCUAGUUUUGCACAGCUGAGGUUGUUAUCAAACGCAGCAGUAGGUAUGAAAUGCGGAAACUGUUCCAACUUGAUCUUCAACAGUUGAGUUACUCCUCAUCACAAUACCUGAACUGAAAACAAUCGGUGAUGAUCCUGCAUUUCACUUCUACCUCACAGUGCUCUUCCCUAUAAACGCUAGAGGAAAGUUUGAAAAUGAAAAACUUGUCAUUGCAAGUGUGAAAGGACCAAUUGAUUCUUAACGAAACAACCUGCCUCAAUGCUUUAGCUGACACUACAUCAAGUCAACACAAGGCAAUUUGUUUUUCUCGCAACCUGACCGGUAUGUUGAAUCUGAUCAAAAUUGUACACAACCACUGGUCAAGAAUAUAGAAAUACAAGUUGUAUGAUCAGUAACCUAAAAUAUUCUUGAAUAUUUGAACAUAAUAAAAAGGUAUGUUGAAUUUGAUCAAAAUUGUACACAACCACUGGUCAAGAAUAUAGAAAUACAAGUUGUAUGAUCAGUAACCUAAAAUAUUCUUGAAUAUUUGAACAUAAUAAAAAAGUAUUCGUUAAAGUUAUUCAUAUUGUGUGUAGUGUAGGUAAGAUCAAAGUCAAGGUUAUUUUGGCUAAAAAAAGGAAAAUGAGUCUUGAUUCAUAACAUCGAUGAAAUAGCAAGCCUUAAGUAUUUUCGAUAAAGUGAUACAUAUAUUUUGUGGUGAUGUCAUAACCUUUUUUCACUGUUUUUGAAGAGAAAACACAUGCUAUAAAUAUAUUAUCACAUUUGUGUUUUUUUAGCUCGACUAUUUUAAGAAUAAGGUGGGCUAUACUAUUGGCUCUGGUGUCGGUGUCCGGUUCAAGUUUUAGGGCAAGUUGGGAUUUUCACUUAUAAGUCCAAUACCCUUCAUUCAAUUGACUUAAUACCUCACACAGUUGUUCAGGGCCAUCAUAUAAUGGGAAUAGAUAACUCCUUUAUACAAGUUAUGGCCCCUGAUUGACUAUCAAACUUAGGUUAAAGUUUAUUGAUAACUUCUCUACCAUUCGUUCAUUUAACUUAAUACUUGACCCAUUUGUUCAGGACCAUCACACAAUGAGGUUACAUAACUCUGUAUUAUCCUCAAUACAAGUUAUAGCCCCUGAUUGACUUAGGUUAAAGGUUUAGGGCAGGUUAAAGGAACAAGUUGGGAUUUUCACUAAUAAGUCCAAUACCCUUCAUUCAAUUGACUUACCGUAAUACUUUACACAGAUGUUCAGAGCCAUCACAUAAUUAGGUAAGAUAACUCCAUAUCAUAUUUUAUUCACAUAAUGGCCCCUGAUUGACUAUGGAACUUAGGUUAAAUUUUUAGGGCAGGUUGAUAUAUUUAUUGAUAACUUCUAUACCCUUCAUUCACAUUAUCCUUAAUACAAGUUAUGGCCCCUGAUUGACUUAGGUUAAAGUUUUAGGGCAAGUUAAAGUUUUAGGGCAAAUUGGGAUUUUAAUAAAAAAAACUUCUAUACCUUCAUUUAAUGCACUUAAUACUUCGCAGAAUUAUUGACGACCAUCUUACACUAAGGAACAUAACUUCAUGUUAACCCUAAAUACAAAUUAUUGCACUUGAAUGUUUUUUUUUUCUUUUUAACUCUUCUUUUAAUUUCUUCAGAAAGGCACAUUUUUAUAUUCCUAACCACAUUUUCAUAAAGGGAAAACAAGAUAUUUGAAUGACCUGUGUCAUUGUUCGGGUGGGCUGGUGUUAGGGCAGCGUCAAAGUCACCUUAUGUAUCGAAUAAUUUUAGUUAGGUUUGACAUACAGAGACCAAACUUGGUAUAUGCAAAGAGUUUAUGGAGACCUUUUAUGGGAAUGCGUUUGAGGCCCCUAUGAUCAAGGUCAAGGUUACUAUAAAUAGAAAAAGGGUUGGUUUUGAAUAACUUAAGUAAGGGUCUUCUUAUUGGUACCAAAUUUGGUAUAUAGGAAGAGUUUAUAGAGACCUUUCCUGAGAUUGUGUUUUUGGCCCCGAGAGUUAUGGUCUAGGUCAAGGUCAAUAUAGAAAUAUGGUAAGUACUGAAUAACUCAAGUAAGGAUUGACAUAGUGUGACCAAACUUGGUAUAUAGGACAAGUUCAUGCAGAGCUUUAAUGGAUGCUUUUUGGCCCCCUAGCGUCGUUGUCACUGUUACUAAAAAUAGAUUACUGUUUCAGUUAAGGCUGACAUACUGUGACCAAACUUGAUAUAUGUAGGAAGAGUUUAUAGCGCGGACACGAGUAUGUGUACUCAGACAUUUAAAUAUCUCGUGUGACUUUGAUCUUUGAGUUAUGGACCCUGGUCAAUGUCACUGCUCAUCGUCUCAAUGAGGAUAACAUUUGUACCAAGCAAUAUGGUAAUCCAUCAAUGCAUAAGUAAGUUAUAGCACGGACACGAAAUGUUACAGCCAGACGGACAGACAGACUGAUGAAGUGUUUCUGUAAUCCCCUCCCCACUCCGUGGCGGGGGAUUUGAAAUUUGAUAUUUAUAAAAUAGUGUACUUACAUUUUUGCCAUUGUUCUGUUUUACCAUUCUGUCAAUAUGUUAAGUGACAGUUGUGCCAAUAUCUUACAGUCACCAUAUAUGACUUUACAGAAUCGUAACAUUAUUUAAUAACCUCAUCAUAAUGAUUACUUAUCUUCCUAUUGUUUUCUUAAAUGUUCUGCAAUUUCAAUAAUUAUUUACAAAACAUGUUCCUAAAAUCAGAGACAUUUGACAGUAUUAUAAGAAUUCUCAUUCAAGGUUUUGUCUAUCUGAACACUGAUGUUUGCAUAAUGCUCUGUAGAUAUCACUAUGCUUUUGCUAAGUUUAAUUCCCAUUAAUGUUUAAAUUAAUUUCUCAUAUGUACAUAUAUUUAACAAUGUUCUGUUUUUCAACAUCUCAAUUAAACAGUUACAAAAUGUUAAUUUACAAGAAAUACUUGUAUUUAUAUCACUAUGUCAUUUUGCCAUGUCACCCUUCUUUACUACCUGUUAUGCUUAAAGCUGCACUCUCACAGAUUUACCAUUUGAACAACUUUUUUUAUUUUUUGUCUUGGAAAGCGCAAAUUUUGUGUUAAUAUCCACAAACAAAUGAUUUAAGAUUACUGACAAAAGAUCAAAUCACAGAUUUUCAUAUUUCCAUUUGAAAAUUAAUGUCUUAUGGCUAAAGCUGUUAUUACCAGUUUAAGAAAAUUGCAUAAAACAUCAAUUUUUGAACUUGCGUAUAAAAAUCUGCAUUCUUUUUUUAUCAGCUGUCUGAUAUAACUGGUUUCAAUGGAUUUUCGCAAAAUAUGGCUCGUUCUAAGUCAAAAAAUGAAAAAGUUGUCAAACAUUCAAUCUGUGAGAGUGCAGCUUUAACUCUGAUGAAUAUAUCAUUCAAUGUCUCUUUUAUAGGCACUGACUCUCCAUUUACAAACAUUAGAAUUCAUAAUGCUUAAAAAAGUAUGCCUGUUUCAACUUCUCAACUUACCCUGCUUUUUUGCAUUACCCUUAACCAUUCUAUUGUGUGUUGUUGUUUUUCAUUUUCGUGAUUUAUGACUUUUCAAACUUUAAAAAAUAAUGGCCUUUUGGCUAUCAACCAUAUCAGCAAUGCUUAUACUGAUGAUAUAAAACUCCAGGCAUAUCAUUUAUAGUUUUGGGUUUGACAACUUUCAACUUUUAAGUUAGUAAAUCAUUUAACAAAUAUACCUAUUUUCAACCGAAUUCAUUCCAACAUAACAACUGAAACUGAGUCUUUUUAAGCCCCCCCCCCCCUGAAAAAGAUAUUUAUCACCCUAUUAAUAGUUUCAUUCAAAUACUGUGCAUUUGCAUACUGGGUACAUAUUACUAGGUUUUCAUGCAUUUUCAUUUAUAUUCUUUUCUUUCAUACCUGUUCUAUUUCGUUGCUUAUGAAAUAGUACCAGCAUGUAUUUUAGUAUUGUAUUAAUUUGUCUGUAUAUGUCGCACUUACACCAAAUUAUAACAAAUAUUCUUUCUAUUGUUAAUUACAUUUUAGUACAACUCUACCAUUCCCAGCAUACAUACUAACUCUGUAUAUUUUGUUUUUGUGUCAUUAUAUUUCCAUACACAUUAAGUGAUCAACUUCCUAGUCAUACCACUAUCAACCUGCAUCACAUUCUGCUCAUCAUUCUUAUAUCUUAUGCCUUAAAAGUGCAUAAUGCAUGAUGAUUACAUAAUGUUUAUUACCUGUAAGUGUCAGUAUAUGCUAAACUUCUUUCCUUUGUUUAAAACAUCCUGCGUGCCUAUAAAUCAUCUACGCCACAGAACAAGGAAAAUGACAUUAAUAAUGAUGAUCAGACUUCUUUCUUUCAGCUCAUGUAUAACCAACUUCUUUCAGUUUAUGUUAAAUGUAUUUUUUUAAUUGUGUUAAAAUCUGUUACAUAAGCAAACAGUUUUAUGUGUUUUUCAGUUAGAAUCAAUGGCUUUGUAACACUUAAUUAUAACGGUCAACUUGUUUCGCGGAUUAUUAGCCAAAAGUAAACAUUGUUUUAAGCAUAUGUCCUUAAUUAUUUCUAUUGGAUUAACGUUUGGUGCUACUCCUGUUUAAAGUCAACAUUUCAUCAAAGUACAAAUUCUCAACGUUUCGAACUUUGCCCAGAAUUUACCAAAUCAUGUUGGCAUAUUUAACAUUUCAGCUAUCAUAUCAGCCACUCCAAAAGAAAACCACCACUGUGGCCAUGUUGUCUUUUAUAAAUGUGUGUAUAUUGAUACAGUUCAUGAAUAAAGUUAUUUGAUACAA
Molecule: long non-coding RNA, 5691 nt
Organism: Mya arenaria
Lineage: Eukaryota; Metazoa; Mollusca; Bivalvia; Myida; Myidae
Exons: 4
Source: RefSeq, a predicted model, not a curated record